RNAcentral lists this ribosomal RNA (484 nucleotides) under uncultured bacterium. RNAcentral's name for it is "partial 16S ribosomal RNA". It matches the Rfam family "Bacterial small subunit ribosomal RNA", at positions 30 to 507 of the family's 1533-position model. The record is from RNAcentral.
AUUGAACGCUGGCGGCAGGCCUAACACAUGCAAGUCGAGCGGAUGAAGGGAGCUUGCUCCUGGAUUCAGCGGCGGACGGGUGAGUAAUGCCUAGGAAUCUGCCUGGUAGUGGGGUAUAACGUCCGGAAACGGGCGCUAAUACCGCAUACGUCCUUAGGGAGAAAGUGGGGGUUCUUCGGACCUCACGCUAUCAUAUGAGCCUAGGUCGGAUUAGCUAGUUGGUUGGGUAAAGGCCUACCAAGGCGACGAUCCGUAACUGGUCUGAGAGGAUGAUCAGUCACACUGGAACUGAGACACGGUCCAGACUCCUACGGGAGGCAGCAGUGGGGAAUAUUGGACAAUGGGCGAAAGCCUGAUCCAGCCAUGCCGCGUGUGUGAAGAAGGUCUUCGGAUUGUAAAGCACUUUAAGUUGGGAGGAAGGGCAGUAAGUUAAUACCUUGCUGUUUUGACGUUACCAACAGAAUAAGCACCGGCUAACUUCGUG